AAGACUUUAUGUUAAUAAACAAAUAACCUUCAAAGUUAUAAUUAAAAGUUUUAAUCUUUUAAGUCUUA
This 68-nucleotide transfer RNA is filed under the name Serratella zapekinae. Its description in RNAcentral is "tRNA-Trp". It matches the Rfam family "tRNA". From Rfam's summary of the family: Transfer RNA (tRNA) molecules are approximately 80 nucleotides in length. Their secondary structure includes four short double-helical elements and three loops (D, anti-codon, and T loops). Further hydrogen bonds mediate the characteristic L-shaped molecular structure. tRNAs have two regions of fundamental functional importance: the anti-codon, which is responsible for specific mRNA codon recognition, and the 3' end, to which the tRNAs corresponding amino acid is attached (by aminoacyl-tRNA synthetases). tRNAs cope with the degeneracy of the genetic code in two manners: having more than one tRNA (with a specific anti-codon) for a particular amino acid; and 'wobble' base-pairing, i.e. permitting non-standard base-pairing at the 3rd anti-codon position. Lineage: Eukaryota; Metazoa; Arthropoda; Insecta; Ephemeroptera; Ephemerellidae. The record is from RNAcentral.